UUAUAAGCAAAAAUUUAUAUUUUAGAUUCAUUCAAUUAAUGAUGUAUAUGGUCUUUAUUAUAGACCACAUACAUCAUUUAAUGAAUGAAUUUAAAAUAUUGAUUUUUGCUUAUAA
Medicago truncatula (barrel medic) is the source of this 115-nucleotide microRNA precursor. It matches the Rfam family "MIR2593 microRNA precursor family". The record is from Rfam. NCBI's taxonomy places the organism in Eukaryota, Viridiplantae, Streptophyta, Magnoliopsida, Fabales, Fabaceae.